Long non-coding RNA from Oncorhynchus tshawytscha (Chinook salmon), 857 nucleotides. RefSeq lists it as uncharacterized. The transcript has 2 exons. The record is from RefSeq and is a predicted model, not a curated record. Lineage: Eukaryota; Metazoa; Chordata; Actinopteri; Salmoniformes; Salmonidae.
AACCAGGUGGAGUGACUCUCGUAUCCCUGACCUAUCACAACCCAGGUGGAGUGACUCUCGUAUCCCUGACCUAUCACAACCCAGGUGGACAGGUUGACACAGGACUGUGUCUCUGUCCUGAGGUGGAGGAACGGGGAAUGUGUCAGGUACCUCGGCGGUGUUCAUUAGGGCACAACUGUAGCAAAACAUUCUGCAAUGCAAAACAAUGUGUUCUUAUGAGACGAAUUCAGGUACUGCUCCCCUGUUUUCCCCCAAUUGAACAGGCCCCUCUUGUCUACAGUGGGACAGAAAGGUACAAAGUUGACUAUUUUUUACUGAAUAUAUAUAUAGAUUGAACGAACUGAAUUGAUUUAAAGCUCAAUCCAUUCUUGUGUGUAAAUAGUGGCAGUCAUUUAAAAUCUUCUGUAUUAAUCUGGACGAAUCUCACCACAUACCGUUGAAUCUCAGAUAUUUUAUUAAAUGAUAAAAUAAUCCAGUUUUCAGACUUUUUACUUUUCCUUCAGGACCAUGUUUUAUUUACCAUGUUUGUACAACUGAUCUGCAAGCUCAUCGUCUGGUAUCGCUCAUCGUCUGGUAUCGCUCAUCAUCUGGUAUCACUCAUCGUCUGGUAUCACUCCCCCCUUUUAUAAGUUGAAGCUCAUCGUCUGGUAUCGCUCAUCGUCUGGUAUCGCUCAUGGUCUGGUAUCACUCCCCCCUUUUAUAAGUUGAAGCUCAUCGUCUGGUAUCACUCCCCCCUUUUAUAAGUUGAAGCUCAUCGUCUGGUAUCACUCCCCCUUUUAUAAGUUGAAGCUCAAUUAGCACCUGCCUCCCCUGACCACCGGCUGGAGGGGAAACAUAAUAAACCUAUUGCUUAUGUU